This is a long non-coding RNA of Sarcophilus harrisii (Tasmanian devil), 1597 nucleotides long. RefSeq lists it as uncharacterized. NCBI's taxonomy places the organism in Eukaryota, Metazoa, Chordata, Mammalia, Dasyuromorphia, Dasyuridae. The record is from RefSeq and is a predicted model, not a curated record. The transcript is spliced from 3 exons.
GUGAGGAAGGAAGAAGAAUAAUAUGGACCCCAAGGUUUUGCAAGGCUGAAUGAGAGCUUCCUAGAACAUCUAAGACAGAAUCCAGGAUAUCUACUCCUCUGGAAAAGGCAAGAAAUAUGAUGUCCAUUAUACAUGGGAAGUCAUGCGAAACAUAUUUCCAUAUUAACCAUGUUUCAAAAAAAAAGAAAAGAAGAAAGUGAAAAAAUUAUGCUUUGGUUUGCAUUCAGACUUCAUCAGUUUUCUCUCUCUGGAGGCAGAAAGCAUUUUCAUCCAGAGUUAAUGGAUGCCUUCUGAUACCUGAUGGGCAGUCAUGAAGAAAAGAGGCUGGAUUUGUUCUUUUUGGACAGAGAAGAGAAAAAAACCAUCUCUAUAGAAGCUAUAAAGAAGCGAAUUUCCCCUCUGCCUCCAAGAGGAAUAGGCUGCGUUGGGAGGUAAUGAGCUCACCAUAUCUGAAGGUCUUCAAAUAGAGAACAGUCUGAGAUGCUGUACAGAGGAUUCCUAUAAAGAUACAGGAGGUACUGAACGGGCAUCUCCCCCAUCCUCAAAUCCUUUCCAGAUCUGAGAUUCUGUGAUUUAAUGAACUGGAAGCCUUCUUUCAUUUUCCCCUAAUAAUACCUUAUGUGUCUUAACAGAGGCAUAUGCACAUGCUGAACAAUGGCACCUCUCGGAUCUCCUUUUUACCAACUGCUGGCAAAUAGAAUCUGGACACUUGGGGUUUAAUCCCUGGAGACUUUUUCUGUGACUGAAGCAGGAACUGACAGGCUUUCUGUGUUGUAAGACCCCCUCAUUUUACAGUCAUAGACACCGAGGCCAUUGCAGGCUAAAUAAUUUCAAAUCUCUCCCUCUGUGAUCUCAUCCAUGUGGGGAGCUCCCUCCACCACUAAGCCCUUCCUUACUUCUGACUUUGCUCACAGUUACUUAACAAAACCUGUUAAAUAGAAUUAGUUGAGUGGAGGAAAUCACAUCUAAGCUUUGGCAGAAGAUAAUGAUUUGGAGAACCCAGAAAUGAGGUAAUCUGGUAUUUCAAGCAGGGGGGGGAUGCCUCUGGGAAUGCACAGAGGGGCAGCCGGUGGGAGAGGAAGCCUAAGAAAUAUGUCUUAGCCUUGAAAACCAACCUGAAGAGUGCUUUUUAUUCUACAAGCAAUGGAGAGUCGAGGGAAGCUCUUGACUGAUGGGGUCAGGUCUGUACCUGAUCAAUCAAUCAACCAAUAAACAUUGAUACCGUGCCUACUAUGUGCCAGACAUUGCAUUAAGCUCUGGGGAUAGGAAAAGAGGUAAAAGAUCAUUGCUGAUCUUAAGGAUUUCAUGAUCUAAAGGAGGAGACAACUCUCAAAUAAAUACAGAGCAAGCCAUAUAAUAAGAAAUAAUGAACAGAGUGAAAGGCAUUGGGAUUAAGAGGGUAGGGAAGGCUUCCUGUAGAAGGUGGGAUUUAAAGGGAAUUUAAAGGGAGGUUAAUAGUGAGAGCAGAGCAGGUAGUGCAUUCCAGCCAGAUACAGGGGACAUCUAGGAAGAAUGCCUGGAACUGAGAGAUGGAGUGUGGAUUAUUUUAUUUUAUUUUAUUUUUUUGCUGAGACAAUUGGGGUUAAGUGAUUUGCCC